UACGGAAGGUCCGGGCGUUAUCCGGAUUUAUUGGGUUUAAAGGGAGCGCAGGCCGGCUGUUAAGCGUGACGUGAAAUGCCGCGGCUCAACCGUGGAAGUGCGUCGCGAACUGGCGGCCUUGAGUGGGGUCGACGCAUGCGGAAUUCGUGGUGUAGCGGUGAAAUGCUUAGAUAUCACGAAGAACCCCGAUUGCGAAGGCAGCGUGCGAGUCCCUUACUGACGCUAAAGCUCGAAGGUGCGGGUAU
This 245-nucleotide ribosomal RNA is filed under the name uncultured Prevotella sp. Its description in RNAcentral is "partial 16S ribosomal RNA". It matches the Rfam family "Bacterial small subunit ribosomal RNA", at positions 524 to 768 of the family's 1533-position model. Lineage: Bacteria; Pseudomonadati; Bacteroidota; Bacteroidia; Bacteroidales; Prevotellaceae. The record is from RNAcentral.